This 1600-nucleotide ribosomal RNA is filed under the name Escherichia coli 1-110-08_S4_C3. Its description in RNAcentral is "bacterial LSU rRNA". It matches the Rfam family "Bacterial large subunit ribosomal RNA", at positions 1 to 1645 of the family's 2925-position model. Lineage: Bacteria; Pseudomonadati; Pseudomonadota; Gammaproteobacteria; Enterobacterales; Enterobacteriaceae. The record is from RNAcentral.
UUAAGCGACUAAGCGUACACGGUGGAUGCCCUGGCAGUCAGAGGCGAUGAAGGACGUGCUAAUCUGCGAUAAGCGUCGGUAAGGUGAUAUGAACCGUUAUAACCGGCGAUUUCCGAAUGGGGAAACCCAGUGUGUUUCGACACACUAUCAUUAACUGAAUCCAUAGGUUAAUGAGGCGAACCGGGGGAACUGAAACAUCUAAGUACCCCGAGGAAAAGAAAUCAACCGAGAUUCCCCCAGUAGCGGCGAGCGAACGGGGAGCAGCCCAGAGCCUGAAUCAGUGUGUGUGUUAGUGGAAGCGUCUGGAAAGGCGCGCGAUACAGGGUGACAGCCCCGUACACAAAAAUGCACAUGCUGUGAGCUCGAUGAGUAGGGCGGGACACGUGGUAUCCUGUCUGAAUAUGGGGGGACCAUCCUCCAAGGCUAAAUACUCCUGACUGACCGAUAGUGAACCAGUACCGUGAGGGAAAGGCGAAAAGAACCCCGGCGAGGGGAGUGAAAAAGAACCUGAAACCGUGUACGUACAAGCAGUGGGAGCACGCUUAGGCGUGUGACUGCGUACCUUUUGUAUAAUGGGUCAGCGACUUAUAUUCUGUAGCAAGGUUAACCGAAUAGGGGAGCCGAAGGGAAACCGAGUCUUAACUGGGCGUUAAGUUGCAGGGUAUAGACCCGAAACCCGGUGAUCUAGCCAUGGGCAGGUUGAAGGUUGGGUAACACUAACUGGAGGACCGAACCGACUAAUGUUGAAAAAUUAGCGGAUGACUUGUGGCUGGGGGUGAAAGGCCAAUCAAACCGGGAGAUAGCUGGUUCUCCCCGAAAGCUAUUUAGGUAGCGCCUCGUGAAUUCAUCUCCGGGGGUAGAGCACUGUUUCGGCAAGGGGGUCAUCCCGACUUACCAACCCGAUGCAAACUGCGAAUACCGGAGAAUGUUAUCACGGGAGACACACGGCGGGUGCUAACGUCCGUCGUGAAGAGGGAAACAACCCAGACCGCCAGCUAAGGUCCCAAAGUCAUGGUUAAGUGGGAAACGAUGUGGGAAGGCCCAGACAGCCAGGAUGUUGGCUUAGAAGCAGCCAUCAUUUAAAGAAAGCGUAAUAGCUCACUGGUCGAGUCGGCCUGCGCGGAAGAUGUAACGGGGCUAAACCAUGCACCGAAGCUGCGGCAGCGACGCUGAUGCGUUGUUGGGUAGGGGAGCGUUCUGUAAGCCUGCGAAGGUGUGCUGUGAGGCAUGCUGGAGGUAUCAGAAGUGCGAAUGCUGACAUAAGUAACGAUAAAGCGGGUGAAAAGCCCGCUCGCCGGAAGACCAAGGGUUCCUGUCCAACGUUAAUCGGGGCAGGGUGAGUCGACCCCUAAGGCGAGGCCGAAAGGCGUAGUCGAUGGGAAACAGGUUAAUAUUCCUGUACUUGGUGUUACUGCGAAGGGGGGACGGAGAAGGCUAUGUUGGCCGGGCGACGGUUGUCCCGGUUUAAGCGUGUAGGCUGGUUUUCCAGGCAAAUCCGGAAAAUCAAGGCUGAGGCGUGAUGACGAGGCACUACGGUGCUGAAGCAACAAAUGCCCUGCUUCCAGGAAAAGCCUCUAAGCAUCAGGUAACAUCAAAUCGU